Molecule: non-coding RNA, 32 nt
Filed under: Geobacter sulfurreducens PCA
Lineage: Bacteria; Pseudomonadati; Thermodesulfobacteriota; Desulfuromonadia; Geobacterales; Geobacteraceae
Source: RNAcentral
GGAAACAGCACGAUUCAACUGGUGUGUAACAC